This 253-nucleotide ribosomal RNA is filed under the name uncultured bacterium. RNAcentral's name for it is "partial 16S ribosomal RNA". It matches the Rfam family "Bacterial small subunit ribosomal RNA", at positions 524 to 776 of the family's 1533-position model. The record is from RNAcentral.
UACGAAGGGGGCUAGCGUUGUUCGGACUUACUGGGCGUAAAGCGCACGUAGGCGGAUUUGUUAGUCAGGGGUGAAAUCCCGGGGCUCAACCUCGGAACUGCCUUUGAUACUGCAAGUCUAGAGUCCGGAAGAGGUGAGUGGAAUUCCUAGUGUAGAGGUGAAAUUCGUAGAUAUUAGGAAGAACACCGGUGGCGAAGGCGGCUCACUGGUCCGGUACUGACGCUGAGGUGCGAAAGCGUGGGGAGCAAACAGG